CACCAUGCGGCGCAGCCUGAUGCAGCCAUGCCGCGUGUGUGAAGAAGGCCUUCGGGUUGUAAAGCACUUUCAGUCGUGAGGAAGGUAGUGCAGUUAAUAGCUGCAUUAUUUGACGUUAGCGACAGAAGAAGCACCGGCUAACUCCGUGCCAGCAGCCGCGGUAAUACGGAGGGUGCGAGCGUUAAUCGGAAUUACUGGGCGUAAAGCGCAUGCAGGUGGUUUGUUAAGUCAGAUGUGAAAGCCCGGGGCUCAACCUCGGAAUUGCAUUUGAAACUGGCAGACUAGAGUACUGUAGAGGGGGGUAGAAUUUCAGGUGUAGCGGUGAAAUGCGUAGAGAUCUGAAGGAAUACCGGUGGCGAAGGCGGCCCCCUGGACAGAUACUGACACUCAGAUGCGAAAGCGUGGGGAGCAAACAGGAUUAGAUACCCUGGUAGUCCACGCCGUAAACGAUGUCUACUUGGAGGUUGUGGCCUUGAGCCGUGGCUUUCGGAGCUAACGCGUUAAGUAGACCGCCUGGG
This 518-nucleotide ribosomal RNA is filed under the name Vibrio sp. 8Bb1S21. RNAcentral's name for it is "bacterial SSU rRNA". It matches the Rfam family "Bacterial small subunit ribosomal RNA", at positions 367 to 877 of the family's 1533-position model. Lineage: Bacteria; Pseudomonadati; Pseudomonadota; Gammaproteobacteria; Vibrionales; Vibrionaceae. The record is from RNAcentral.